GUAAUGGGGAUUCAAACCGCCAACCUUCUGAUCGGCAAGCCCUAGGCUCUGUGGUUUAGACCACAGUGCCACCCACAUCCCAACUUGCAACUUACCUACCCCUAAAUAAAACUCCUUGGCUGCAAUUUUGCUGAAGUUGCUUUGAGGGGUGUGCAGACUGAGAUUUUUCAUUGCCAUGCAAGGCCAUUUCAGACGUCCCCUUCCACAUACCUGGCAGUGGGAAGUAAAUGUAUAUACAGGCUUGUGGUUUGCUAACUGUGAUGUAAGCCAUACUUCUUGAGUUUCCUCACCCCUUCCAUUGACUACGUAGAUCCCUCAGAGGAGGAUUGGGGUAUAUUUGUUUGAUUCCUGCCCCCUAAUUUGUAUGAGUUGCUAUGUAUGUAUCAAAUUUAAACUCACCAUACAGCCGAUGGUCCAGUCUGCAUUUCACAGUAAACUAUAGUUUACCAUAGUGUACUUCAGUGCGUUUGACUCCUCCCCACAUGGAGGAAACAUACCAUGAUCCCUGACUUAGUGUUCUGCCCAAACCAUGAUGUACAAACCAAGAAUAAACCUUGGCUACAGAUUACUGCUUGGGAACUCAGGGGGAAACAACAUGGCCAGGAUAGGUCCGUGCAGAGUUUACUGUGACAUGCAAACAAGGCCAAUGUGUUUUAGAAAGAGUGCUGCAGAAUACAGUCAGUAGGAAACAGCGUUUGUAUUGUACAAAUAAAUGUGUGUGCUUUGUAACCUCUCCCUCAAAUUGAGACUUGAAACAUUGACCUAGCUUUGAAAAAUGAAAUUUAGAGAUCACAGCUUUGUUCUUGGAAGUUCCUGCAACUUUCUGACUUAUAGAUUUUGCUACUUCCUCUGUAGAGCAUAACUUUAUAUAGAAGGAAGAUGGAUAUGUACUUUGGACUACUGCUGUGGCAAAGCAAUCGAGAGAACUUGUACAAAUGUGGAAGGUGCUAGUGUUUUUGCACCAUUUCAGAAUGCACGCGGGUGAAAUUAUUGAUUUAAACGUUCUUCCAUAUCUUGGUUUUCUGCUAAUCGGAGAUUUAAGCUUUCUAUGUGGAAAAAGAACCUCUUAGACAAUGGGGGCACUAGCCCUUAGUUGCAUGAAGCUUCAAGUGAUUUAUACAAAAAGUGAGAUAUAGUUUGGUGUCUUCAAAAAAAUAAAAACCAAAAAACAAGAGAGAAACAUCAUGUUGUAAACUGAGAUGCACUUUGAACAUUGUGUCCCAGUCCAGGUUUUGACGGCACAAACACUGUCUGUCCUCAGCAUGCCACCAAAGGAGACUUACUCUCUGACACGGGAACAAUGAAAUAUGUGCCAAUGGCUCAGUCCCUACCCUUUUCCCGUUUUGUGUGACUCUGGUUUUAUUAUUGUAUUAUUCAAAUUUGUGUGCUACAGGAAUCUCGGCUGCACAAAGCCUUCAGUGGAAACGAAAAUGCGGUGAAAGUGAAGCCAAACAAGUGUUGGCACAGACCCUUUCAAAUUUAUUUAUUUAUAUUAAAUUUAUAUACCACCCCGCACUUGAGGAUCACAGGGCAGUUUGCAGUAUAAAAGCAUCAAAAUACAUAAUGGCUAGCAAAACAAUAACCCCACACUCCACACUCAAUUUAAAAAGCCAUAGAUUCUUUAAUUGGCCAAAGGCCUGGGAUAAAUGUUUUUGCCUGGCCCCUAAAGAGAUUUAACAAAGGCCUCGGGUGAGCUACCCUGGGGAGAGCAUGCCACAAACGGAGCCACCACAGAAAAGGCCUGUUGUUGUGUUGCCACCUUCCGGAUCUCUUGCGGAAGGGGCACACAAAAAAGGACCUCGGGUGAUGAUCACGGGGUCUGGGUUGGUUCAUAUGGGGAGAGGCGGUCCUUGAGGUAUUGUAGUCCUGAGCCACUUAGACCUUUCCAGUUCAAAACAAGUUAGGCUAUCCCUGCCCAGAUAGGGCUGCAACUGGGCCACCAGCCCAAACUGGUGGAAGUCACCACUGAGACCACCUGAGCCUCAAGUGACAGUAAAGUUUCCAAGCUGUUUCCUUCAAAGGGCAAUCCCCAUCAAGAGCAGGUCACCUCCCAUCCAUUCUUAUCCUGCCAAAUGAGGGGCUUGUGUCUCCAUUUGGUUUUGCUGUAUUCCUACCUGCUACAGAAAAAUAGUAUGGGAGCAACUCAUGCCUCAGAAAUUGCCUAAGACUUGGGUAGUCAGGCCAUUGUUCCAUCUAGAUCUGUGUUGUGUACAUUGACUAGCAGCAGCUCUCCCAGUUUUCAGCCAGGGUCUAGUGUAGCCUUACCUGGAGAUGCCAUAGUUUGAUCCUGGGACCUUCUGCAUGCAAAGCAGAUGUUCUACCACUGAACUUAGUCUCCUACCAUUUGUGUGUGUUCAUCAGUAACUCAUUUACACAUUUACAAGGCAGGCAAAAUUUUCUUCAACAUGUUUCCAGGAAUACGCUUCCUCAUUCUCCUUAUCAUUGCCAACAAUUAUGUGAAACAGAUCCCUGUCUAUUUGUCAAAGGUCAGGUAAAUUGUUAGUAGCCAGAUCCAAGUCCAGGGCUCAUUGAAUUUCUCAAACUAAAAAUCUAUCCAAGUUCUGUUUUCUGCAGAACACUUAUGAGAAAUGUUCUAGCUUUGCGAAAACGAGAAUGCUUCUCCCUCUUUCAUUAACCCGAGCAUAUUUUUAGUUGCAAAACAUUAAAAAACAAAACAGAGUUUACAAUAGAUGCAAAACUUAUUUUAAAAUCUUAGGAUAAAUAUUUUAAAUAUAGGGUGAGUAUUUAAUUGUGUCUGUGAAAGAGAAAUAUAAUCUGGAGACAAGUAUACGAAUUUCAAAUGAAUUGCAUGUUAAGAGGUUGAAAGUAUAGCUAAGAUUACAUCUACAAGAGGUUACACUUAGGUGUAAUUAAUAUUGGAUGCUUAGGUAAUUAGAAAUGAUUAUAUUACACUAUGCUAUGUUACAUUAUAUGUAUUCUGCACAAAGACGUCCUUAGUGUAUGAACUAAAAGCUUUAAAAAUAAACUUUUGUUGUUGUUUUAAAAGUAUUCCUGUAUCUUCUUUUUUAAUGUGCAGCCCAUAGUUUAUUGGUCAGAAAGGCGCAAUCACAGCAAACCAUUAACAGUGGUUUACUGUGCCAUACAAACAAGGCCUGUAUGUGCAAGCCGGGAAUCAUUAUUUGAAAUAGACUCGUUGAGUUAUGAAGCUAGUUUGUUUAACCAGUGAGUUAGUUUCAAACCACAGUUCCUGAUUCAUCUACAACAAGUCAGAAAUUGGGGAAAGUAAAACCGAACCGUGGUUUGUUACUCUUGACUGGAGGAGUACUGAAACUCAAGACUUUGCUUGGCCUCACAGAGACUGGAUGAUAUAUCUUGGUUUAACAUUAUGUACGGACCAGGGCAGUGUGCAUUCAGAUUGUUUCCACUACAUUUUAAAUGUCUGUACCUUCAUUCAGAGUAAUAUUGACUCCUCAUGGCAGAAACAGGAUUGCUCCCUCUAGGCUUAGAAUAGAAACUUUGGAUCCUGAUAUAAGGUCAGUAAAGAACACUCCUUACUGGAAUGAUAGAUCAUUUUUCGGUUCUUCUUCUUGCCAAAAAGAGAACUUAAAAGGAAAUGCAGUACUUCCCAGUUCUGAUUCCCAGACAUCCUUUUAUUUGUUGAUUUGGAGUAAAGCCACAAUGUCAAAUAAUCCUGUUUAACUUUUAAUGGUCAGGAAAAUGUAAAUGUAAGCAUACAGCUUUCUUACACGAUUUUCUCGAAAAGAAUUUAUUUCUCAUACCCCGCUCAUCUGACUGGGUUGCCCCAGCCACUCUGGGCAGCUACUGAAGACAAAAUAAAUUUUGGGGUGACACAAAGUGUUUUGCGACUGUUCUGCUCAGUUGAAGGACACAACCAUUUAACCACUCGGACAGCAAUAAUAAACUGGCAACAAUAAUUAACACAACAAAUUACAAGCUAGCGUUGCUAAUAGCCAAGUUACCUCUUCAGCUGGAGAACAUAGGUCUGAUUCUUCAUGAAACUCUGAAAUUAGUUGGGUUAUUAAUCCCUCCCUUUAAUAAUGUAAAUAGUUUUAAGGUGAAUGUUUGGCUUUGCAGCUACUACUCUAUAACUUAUUUUUUGCAAUCCAGCUCUGUGCUGGUGUUCUGAUAGUUCCUUUUAUAUUGGGUUUACAUCUACCCUUCGUUCGUAUCCACAUACCUUUGAGGACAUUACUGUUUCAUUGCACACUCUGUGAGAUUAUCUUUUGGAAUGAUGGAUCUGCCCGGUGUCUUUUCCUAACCAGGAUUAUACCUAGAUAAAUAUUAGGAAGCUUCCUUGGACUUGCUCAUGCCUUUCCCAGUCAUUGUAGAGAGAUGAAACAUGUGAAUCCAAGGCUCACUAAAGAUCUCUGCGAGGGGUAUUGUCCAGGAGAGUGGAAAAUAUUGGCAAAAAGAAACUCUGAGAUUAAUGUGGCAGAGGCUGCAAAACAAUGCUUUUAAAAAAAUAAUCUCGAGACAUUUAAGUGUGCAGUCCAGUCAUAGUCUUGCAGUCUGUCUUUGGUUAAGGAAAAUAUGGUAAAUUAUGCUGUCAAUACACGGUGCCAUGAUGAUGAUGAUGAUGAUGAUGAUGAUGAUGAUGAUGAUACAAAAUAAAGGAAUAUGCUAUAUGUGCAUUACUAUUUAUUAUUAAUAUAGCUAUACAGUUUAGUUUUAAGUCUAUAUAUACAGAACAUCUUAUCUUGGCCUGAAAACGACAACGAAUUGUAUACAACAGAAAUGGUCCCAUCUAGAUACAGUUUUGGUCAGACAAGUUUAAGCCUGCGGUUCUCCUGAAUAACAUUUUUGUCGAAUGAAGCAGUGAACUUCGGAAGUCAACAUUGUCUGAAAGCACUAGUAUAGAUAAACAAAUUUAUAGGACGUGCAUAAUGAAACAUGCCUGGCUUCCAUUAGCUGAUACCGAGGCAUGAACAUUUUACACAUUUUCUUCUUUAUGAGCUAUUUCUUCUGGCUAAAAUUACAUUGAAAUAAAUAAGCACUGCCUCUCUCUAUCAAAAAUUAAAAUCUUUAUCCUUUUUGUUUAUACCUCUUAGAGCAGACUUUUCUGUCGGGAUUCUGAAAGUGGAUUGCAAAACUGGAAAUUAAAAAUAUAACAGCAUCAUAAAACAGUAAAGCGCAACGAACACGGGGCUUUGGGUAUAGUUUAAAGCCAAAGAGCUAUCAUUCUACAUACAUCAGCAACCAGCUAUUAAAAAGCAUGAAUAAAAAUAGCAUAAGUGCUGGCUUGUGGGUCUCAGUUAUUGUGUUGGCCACCACCCUGUCUUUUGACAAUAUUGUACAAGGCAGACUCCUUUGAGUAGGAUUUCCCUGUUCUUCCUAUAUACAUAAGAAAUAUCAGUCCAUUAUGCUGGCAGCACCUAUCGCUGGAGGAAGCCAUGCACUGCUGGUACAUUUCAAAAGUAAGGGGUAAGAGGAAGGCCGGGUGGAGUUUGGAGCUUGUUGAGGCAGAAGUGAGAGUUGACUUGGAAUCGGGUGGUUGUCCAUUGGCUAGUUGCACUUCCAGUGCAUUAUCUUUGCAGAAGAGUGUGUAUGCAAGUUCAAAUGCUUCCAACAAGUAAAUAUAGUGCCCAAAACAACUGCUCCCAUUGACACGCAUGGAGGCAAGGGGUUGCGUCCAACUAAGUCAUGACCUCCUCUGAGCAAAUUUGGGGGGAGUGCAAGGGGUGCACAGAGGGAAGGGAGGUCCCACUGCACAAGUAAAAAUCAUUCUACUCCAUUCAGUGACCUAGUUGGGUGCAGUUCUAGGAUUCAGAGCGGUUCUUCAGCUAAUCAUGACACAACACCAGAGCUUGCACCCCUUAGACUAGGAACUCGGAUUGCAUAUAUCAAGUUGUGCGACACAAGGCCAUAUCCCUUUGUUCCCAUGCCUAGAGAACACACAGAUGGUGCUGGAGACAGUUAGUGCAGAAGCAGCGUUUAGUUGUUUGUGUACCCAGCAGCCAGGGAGAGGAAAGAACAAGUGAGUAAUGUUAUCUUCUCAGAACCCUUACAGAUACCUUGCCUUGGGGCAAACGCCAACCAGAACCUCAACUCCACGAUUGAAACUGGGUCUGCAAGGACAAGGCAUGCACAAAGGGUUGAUCUGAAGCACAUGGAACAGGGCAAGUGUUAAGCUGCAUGCAAUGUUCUAGUGCAGUACUCUGGAUAGGCAACCAUUUAACAUGCAUCAAGGCAAAGUGUUUUCCUACCAUCCCAUUCCCCGUGUCAUGCAGAUGCCUGAGAGGCCUACAACAACAGCAGCAUUUAGCAGGAGGGAAACCAGCUAUUCUUCUUUGGGAUUGCCACCUUUUCCGUCAAGCAGGGCUCCUGUGCCUUUCCAGAAUGCUGGACAGGCAGCAUGAUGCGGUUGAUAUUGGAAACAGCUGUUCCUUGCUGAUUUUCUGUGGGUUUCGAAGGCACAGCAGGUCUGCAUAAACCAAAGAGUGGGCAACCCUGCUCAUCUGAGUUGACUUCAGAACUCCUUCGGCAACUGAUGCUGCUCAAUAAAAGUUGUGACUAUU
This is a non-coding RNA of Podarcis muralis (Common wall lizard), 6497 nucleotides long. NCBI's taxonomy places the organism in Eukaryota, Metazoa, Chordata, Lepidosauria, Squamata, Lacertidae. The record is from RefSeq and is a predicted model, not a curated record.